GAAGACUGUAGCUCAGUGGUAGAGCAUCUGCCUGCAAAAGGUCCCAGGUUCAAUUCCUAGCAUCUCCA
Molecule: non-coding RNA, 68 nt
Organism: Podarcis lilfordi (Lilford's wall lizard)
Lineage: Eukaryota; Metazoa; Chordata; Lepidosauria; Squamata; Lacertidae
Source: the annotation of a GenBank genome assembly